CCUACGGGAGGCAGCAGUGGGGGAUAUUGCACAAUGGGGGAAACCCUGAUGCAGCGACGCCGCGUGGGUGAAGAAGCGUUUCGGUAUGUAAAGCUCUGUCAGCAGGGAAGAAAAUGACGGUACCUGACUAAGAAGCCCCGGCUAACUACGUGCCAGCAGCCGCGGUAAUACGUAGGGGGCAAGCGUUAUCCGGAUUUACUGGGUGUAAAGGGGGCGCAGACGGCGAGGCAAGCCAGAAGUGAAAGCCCGGGGCCCAACCCCGGGACUGCUCUUGAAACUGCGUGGCUGGAGUGCAGGAGGGGCAAGCGGAAUUCCUGGUGUAGCGGGGAAAUGCGUAGAUAUUAGGAGGAACACCGGUGGCGAAGGCGGCCUGCUGGACUGCAACUGACGUUGAGGCUCGAAAGCGUGGGGAGCAAACAGGAUUAGAUACCCGGGUAGUC
Molecule: ribosomal RNA, 440 nt
Filed under: uncultured bacterium
Lineage: Bacteria
Description: partial 16S ribosomal RNA
Rfam family: Bacterial small subunit ribosomal RNA
Source: RNAcentral